This 164-nucleotide ribosomal RNA is filed under the name uncultured bacterium. Its description in RNAcentral is "partial 16S rRNA". It matches the Rfam family "Bacterial small subunit ribosomal RNA", at positions 355 to 511 of the family's 1533-position model. The record is from RNAcentral.
UAGGGAAUCUUCCACAAUGGGCGAAAGCCUGAUGGAGCAACGCCGCGUGUGUGAUGAAGGGUUUCGGCUCGUAAAACACUGUUGUAAGAGAAGAAUGACAUUGAGAGUAACUGUUCAAUGUGUGACGGUAUCUUACGAGAAAGGAACGGCUAAAUACGUGCCAC